This 27-nucleotide transfer RNA is filed under the name Hippopotamus amphibius (hippopotamus). RNAcentral describes it as "partial tRNA-Pro". Lineage: Eukaryota; Metazoa; Chordata; Mammalia; Artiodactyla; Hippopotamidae. The record is from RNAcentral.
UUGAAAUUCUAGAUAAACUAUUCCCUG